CGGUCACUGUAGCAGUUUUGAGUCAACGCCGAUAUUUUCCGAUUCCGGCAGUCUCCGGCCACCAAACUGGCAUCGAAGGGUUCUUGGAAUUUCUGGAAAUUUUUCAGCGGCCAAAUUGGAGCUCUUCCAGGGCAAUGCCGCGAGCUACGGUUAAAUGAAGGAACUCGUUUGCGUGGUCGCCCAAUAGUACUUUUGCAGGCGAAAUUAGUUGAGGUCGGGCGUACAUUGGAGUUGAGGCAUAGUCAACAGCAUGGCUUCCGCGGUUGCCUUUGAGUUAGGUUGUCCUUAUUUACCUUUCUAUUAGAAUUGCUCUGAUUACCUAUGGGAUUUAUGUUUUUCAAGUUGAGGUUUGUGUUUUGUGAAUUGGAGAUUGGUGUUGAGUUGGGGAGCAGGGUGGCUCCAGAAGUAUAAGGAUGAUUUGAUUUAGAA
Long non-coding RNA from Rosa rugosa (rugosa rose), 429 nucleotides. RefSeq lists it as uncharacterized. The transcript has 4 exons. NCBI's taxonomy places the organism in Eukaryota, Viridiplantae, Streptophyta, Magnoliopsida, Rosales, Rosaceae. The record is from RefSeq and is a predicted model, not a curated record.